This 293-nucleotide ribosomal RNA is filed under the name uncultured eukaryote. RNAcentral's name for it is "partial 18S ribosomal RNA". It matches the Rfam family "Eukaryotic small subunit ribosomal RNA", at positions 6 to 305 of the family's 1831-position model. The record is from RNAcentral.
GGUUGAUCCUGCCAGUAGUCAUAUGCUUGUCUCAAAGAUUAAGCCAUGCAUGUCUAAGUAUAAGCAAUCAUACUGUGAAACUGCGAAUGGCUCAUUAAAUCAGUUAUCGUUUAUUUGAUAGUACCUUUACCUGGAUAACCGUGGUAAUUCUAGAGCUAAUACAUGCUAAAAAUCCCGACUUCGGAAGGGAUGUAUUUAUUAGAUAAAAAACCAAUGCCCUUCGGGGCUCUUUGGUGAUUCAUAAUAACUUAACGAAUCGCAUGGCCUUGCGCCGGCGAUGGUUCAUUCAAAUU